Non-coding RNA from Gossypium hirsutum (cotton), 144 nucleotides. NCBI's taxonomy places the organism in Eukaryota, Viridiplantae, Streptophyta, Magnoliopsida, Malvales, Malvaceae. The record is from Rfam.
UACUAAAAUUUUAUCCAUUUGUAUUGUUAAAAACCAACAUGGCUGCCGGAAUAACCAAACAAUGACAUGAGGCGUGCAACGCAUACCUCAUACUAAUGUAAAGAGACAAGUUUUUAACAGUAAAAAUGAAUAAAAUUUUGAACA